This 295-nucleotide unclassified non-coding RNA is filed under the name uncultured fungus. RNAcentral's name for it is "sequence contains ITS1". The record is from RNAcentral. Lineage: Eukaryota; Fungi.
AGGACUACUAGGGUUUCUAAUCCUGUUUGCUCCCCACGCUUUCGCACCUCAGCGUCAAUACCUGUCCAGCGAGUCGCCUUCGCCACUGGUGUUCUUCCGAAUAUCUACGAAUUUCACCUCUACACUCGGAAUUCCACUCGCCUCUCCAGGAUUCUAGCCAUCUAGUUUCAAAGGCAGUUCCAGGGUUGAGCCCUGGGCUUUCACCUCUGACUUGAAUGGCCGCCUACGUGCGCUUUACGCCCAGUAAUUCCGAACAACGCUAGCUCCCUCCGUAUUACCGCGGCUGCUGGCACGC